RNAcentral lists this ribosomal RNA (628 nucleotides) under uncultured Basidiomycota. RNAcentral's name for it is "LSU rRNA". It matches the Rfam family "Eukaryotic large subunit ribosomal RNA", at positions 1 to 635 of the family's 3401-position model. Lineage: Eukaryota; Fungi; Basidiomycota. The record is from RNAcentral.
UCUCAAAUCAGGUAGGACUACCCGCUGAACUUAAGCAUAUCAAUAAGCGGAGGAAAAGAAACUAACAAGGAUUCCCCUAGUAACGGCGAGUGAAGCGGGAAGAGCUCAAAUUUAAAAUCUGGCGGUGUAUUCCGUCCGAGUUGUAGUCUAGAGAAGCAUCAUCCGCGCUGGACCAUGUACAAGUCUCUUGGAACAGAGCGUCACAGAGGGUGAGAAUCCCGUCCUUGACAUGGACUCCCAGUGCUUUGUGUUGUGCUCUCGACGAGUCGAGUUGUUUGGGAAUGCAGCUCAAAAUGGGUGGUAAAUUCCAUCUAAAGCUAAAUAUUGGCGAGAGACCGAUAGCGAACAAGUACCGUGAGGGAAAGAUGAAAAGCACUUUGGAGAGAGAGUUAAACAGUACGUGAAAUUGUUGAAAUGGAAACGCUUGAAGUCAGUCGCGUUCUCUGGGAUUCAGCCUUGCUUCUGCUUGGUGCACUUCCUAGUCUACGGGCCAGCAUGGAUUUCGACCGAUGGAAAAAGGCUUGGGGAAUGUGGCACCUCCGGGUGUGUUAUAGCCCCUCGUCAGACACGUCGGUUGGGAUCGAGGACCUCAGUGCACGCUCCGGUUGUGCUUUGAUGCUGGCGUAAU